This 570-nucleotide ribosomal RNA is filed under the name Brevundimonas sp. OL8. Its description in RNAcentral is "bacterial SSU rRNA". It matches the Rfam family "Bacterial small subunit ribosomal RNA", at positions 270 to 858 of the family's 1533-position model. Lineage: Bacteria; Pseudomonadati; Pseudomonadota; Alphaproteobacteria; Caulobacterales; Caulobacteraceae. The record is from RNAcentral.
AGGGCGACGAUCAGUAGCUGGUCUGAGAGGAUGAUCAGCCACAUUGGGACUGAGACACGGCCCAAACUCCUACGGGAGGCAGCAGUGGGGAAUCUUGCGCAAUGGGCGAAAGCCUGACGCAGCCAUGCCGCGUGAAUGAUGAAGGUCUUAGGAUUGUAAAAUUCUUUCACCGGGGACGAUAAUGACGGUACCCGGAGAAGAAGCCCCGGCUAACUUCGUGCCAGCAGCCGCGGUAAUACGAAGGGGGCUAGCGUUGCUCGGAAUUACUGGGCGUAAAGGGAGCGUAGGCGGACAUUUAAGUCAGGGGUGAAAUCCCGGGGCUCAACCUCGGAAUUGCCUUUGAUACUGGGUGUCUUGAGUAUGAGAGAGGUGUGUGGAACUCCGAGUGUAGAGGUGAAAUUCGUAGAUAUUCGGAAGAACACCAGUGGCGAAGGCGACACACUGGCUCAUUACUGACGCUGAGGCUCGAAAGCGUGGGGAGCAAACAGGAUUAGAUACCCUGGUAGUCCACGCCGUAAACGAUGAUUGCUAGUUGUCGGGAUGCAUGCAUUUCGGUGACGCAGCUAACGC